CCGUAACCCUGAUGGAAGUGAUAUCCUUUUUUGUUUUCAACAAUGUAUGAAGAAACAAAAAAGAUUUAACGUACAGCAGGAAAAAGG
This 87-nucleotide small RNA is filed under the name Flavobacterium haoranii. RNAcentral describes it as "Flavobacterium sp. LQY-7 Flavo-1 RNA". It matches the Rfam family "Flavo-1 RNA". Lineage: Bacteria; Pseudomonadati; Bacteroidota; Flavobacteriia; Flavobacteriales; Flavobacteriaceae. The record is from Rfam by way of RNAcentral.